CAGCAGUGGGGAAUAUUGCACAAUGGGGGAAACCCUGAUGCAGCAACGCCGCGUGAGUGAAGAAGUCAUUCGUGAUGUAAAGCUCUAUCAGCAGGGAAGAAAAUGACGGUACCUGACUAAGAAGCCCCGGCUAACUACGUGCCAGCAGCCGCGGUAAUACGUAGGGGGCAAGCGUUAUCCGGAUUUACUGGGUGUAAAGGGAGCGUAGACGGCGACGCAAGUCUGAAGUGAAAUGCCAGUGCUCAACACUGGAACUGCUUUGGAAACUGUGUAGCUAGAGUGCAGGAGAGGUAAGUGGAAUUCCUAGUGUAGCGGUGAAAUGCGUAGAUAUUAGGAGGAACACCAGUGGCGAAGGCGGCUUACUGGACUGUAACUGACGUUGAGGCUCGAAGGCGUGGGGAGCAAACAGGAUUAGA
This 416-nucleotide ribosomal RNA is filed under the name uncultured Clostridium sp. RNAcentral describes it as "bacterial SSU rRNA". It matches the Rfam family "Bacterial small subunit ribosomal RNA", at positions 349 to 782 of the family's 1533-position model. Lineage: Bacteria; Bacillati; Bacillota; Clostridia; Eubacteriales; Clostridiaceae. The record is from RNAcentral.